RNAcentral lists this ribosomal RNA (471 nucleotides) under uncultured bacterium. Its description in RNAcentral is "partial 16S ribosomal RNA". It matches the Rfam family "Bacterial small subunit ribosomal RNA", at positions 28 to 507 of the family's 1533-position model. The record is from RNAcentral.
GACGAACGCUGGCGGCGUGCUUAACACAUGCAAGUCGAACGAUGAAGCGGUGCUUGCACCGUGGAUUAGUGGCGAACGGGUGAGUAAUACGUGAGUGACCUACCUUUGACUCUGGGAUAAGCCUGGGAAACUGGGUCUAAUACCGGAUACGACCAAUCUCUGCAUGGGGUGUUGGUGGAAAGCGUUAUGGAGUGGUUUUAGAUGGGCUCACGGCCUAUCAGCUUGUUGGUGAGGUAAUGGCUUACCAAGGCGACGACGGGUAGCCGGCCUGAGAGGGUGACCGGCCACACUGGGACUGGGACACGGCCCAGACUCCUACGGGAGGCAGCAGUGGGGAAUAUUGCACAAUGGGCGCAAGCCUGAUGCAGCGACGCCGCGUGAGGGAUGACGGCCUUCGGGUUGUAAACCUCUGUUAGCAUCGAAGAAGCGAAAGUGACGGUAGGUGCAGAGAAAGCGCCGGCUAACUACGUG